AGCAGCCGCGGUAAUUCCAGCUCCAAUAGCGUAUAUUAAAGUUGUUGCAGUUAAAAAGCUCGUAGUUGAACUUCGGGGUUUACUCAUUGGUCAGGCUUAAUUGUCUGUACUGGUGAGAUAAAUCUCUACCUUCUGAGGAACUUUCAUGCCAUUUAUUUGGUGUGAUUGGAAAUCAGGACUGUUACUUUGAAAAAUUAGAGUGUUUAAAGCAGGCUAACGUCUGAAUACAUUAGCAUGGAAUAAUGAAAUAGGACGGAUUGAUUCUAUUUCGUUGGUUUCUAGGGUCACCGUAAUGAUUAAUAGGGAUAGUUGGGGGCAUUAGUAUUCAAUUGUCAGAGGUGAAAUUCUUGGAUUUAUUGAAGACUAACUACUGCGAAAGCAUUUGCCAAGGAUGUUUUCAUUAAUCAAGAACGAAAGUUAGGGGAUCGAAGACGAUCAGAUACCGUCGUAGUCUUAACCAUAAACUAUGCCGACUAGGGAUCGGACGCAGUUAAUUUUAUAAUGACGUGUUCGGCACCUU
This 520-nucleotide ribosomal RNA is filed under the name uncultured Diversispora. Its description in RNAcentral is "SSU rRNA". It matches the Rfam family "Eukaryotic small subunit ribosomal RNA", at positions 569 to 1089 of the family's 1831-position model. The record is from RNAcentral. Lineage: Eukaryota; Fungi; Glomeromycota; Glomeromycetes; Diversisporales; Diversisporaceae.